AGUGAACGCUGGCGGUAGGCCUAACACAUGCAAGUCGAACGGCAGCACAGUAAGAGCUUGCUCUUACGGGUGGCGAGUGGCGGACGGGUGAGGAAUACAUCGGAAUCUACUUUUUCGUGGGGGAUAACGUAGGGAAACUUACGCUAAUACCGCAUACGACCUACGGGUGAAAGCAGGGGAUCUUCGGACCUUGCGCGUUUGUAUGAGCCGAUGUCGGAUUAGCUAGUUGGCGGGGUAAAGGCCCACCAAGGCGACGCUCCGUAGCUGGUCUGAGAGGAUGAUCAGCCACACUGGAACUGAGACACGGUCCAGACUCCUACGGGAGGCAGCAGUGGGGAAUAUUGGACAAUGGGCGCAAGCCUGAUCCAGCCAUACCGCGUGGGUGAAGAAGGCCUUCGGGUUGUAAAGCCCUUUUGUUGGGAAAGAAAAGCAGCAGGUUAAUACCCCGCUGUUCUGACGGUACCCAAAGAAUAAGCACCGGCUAACUUCGUG
This 492-nucleotide ribosomal RNA is filed under the name uncultured bacterium. RNAcentral describes it as "partial 16S ribosomal RNA". It matches the Rfam family "Bacterial small subunit ribosomal RNA", at positions 29 to 507 of the family's 1533-position model. The record is from RNAcentral.